This 468-nucleotide ribosomal RNA is filed under the name uncultured bacterium. RNAcentral's name for it is "partial 16S ribosomal RNA". It matches the Rfam family "Bacterial small subunit ribosomal RNA", at positions 28 to 507 of the family's 1533-position model. The record is from RNAcentral.
GACGAACGCUGGCGGCGUGCUUAACACAUGCAAGUCGAACGGAAAGGCCCUGCUUUUGUGGGGUGCUCGAGUGGCGAACGGGUGAGUAACACGUGAGUAACCUGCCCUUGACUUUGGGAUAGCUUCAGGAAACUGGGGCUAAUACCGGAUAGGAGCUCCUGCUGCAUGGUGGGGGUUGGAAAGUUUCGGCGGUUGGGGAUGGACUCGCGGCUUAUCAGCUUGUUGGUGGGGUAGUGGCUUACCAAGGCUUUGACGGGUAGCCGGCCUGAGAGGGUGACCGGCCACAUUGGGACUGAGAUACGGCCCAGACUCCUACGGGAGGCAGCAGAGGGGAAUAUUGCACAAUGGGCGGAAGCCUGAUGCAGCAACGCCGCGUGCGGGAUGACGGCCUUCGGGUUGUAAACCGCUUUCGCCUGUGACGAAGCGUGAGUGACGGUAAUGGGUAAAGAAGCACCGGCUAACUACGUG